This 246-nucleotide ribosomal RNA is filed under the name uncultured bacterium. RNAcentral's name for it is "partial 16S ribosomal RNA". It matches the Rfam family "Bacterial small subunit ribosomal RNA", at positions 57 to 305 of the family's 1533-position model. The record is from RNAcentral.
GCAAGUCGAACGAUAGCAGGAUGUGCUUGCACAUCGCUUACGAGUGGCGGACGGGUGAGUAAUGCUUAGUGAUCUGCCUCUGUGUGUGGGAUAACUAUUCGAAACGAUAGCUAAUACACGCAUAAUGUUUACGGACCAAAGGGGGCUUUUAGCUCCCGCGCAGAGAGGAACCUAAGUGAGAUUAGCUAGUUGGUGGGGUAAAGGCUCACCAAGGCGACGAUCUCUAGCUGGUCUGAGAGGAAGAUC